Otolemur garnettii (small-eared galago) is the source of this 102-nucleotide unclassified non-coding RNA. It matches the Rfam family "Y RNA". From Rfam's summary of the family: Y RNAs are components of the Ro ribonucleoprotein particle (Ro RNP), in association with Ro60 and La proteins. The record is from Ensembl. Lineage: Eukaryota; Metazoa; Chordata; Mammalia; Primates; Galagidae.
GGUUGGUCUGAGUACAGUGGUGUUUACAACUAAUUGAUCACAACCAUUUACAGAUUCUUUUGUUCCUUCUCCAUUCUCACUACUUCACUAGACUGGCCUAAA